GAUGAACGCUGGCGGCGUGCCUAAUACAUGCAAGUCGAGCGAACAGACGAGGAGCUUGCUCCUUUGACGUUAGCGGCGGACGGGUGAGUAACACGUGUGUAACCUACCUAUAAGACUGGGAUAACUUCGGGAAACCGGAGCUAAUACCGGAUAAUAUUUCGAACCGCAUGGUUCGAUAGUGAAAGAUGGCUUUGCUAUCACUUAUAGAUGGACCUGCGCCGUAUUAGCUAGUUGGUAAGGUAACGGCUUACCAAGGCAACGAUACGUAGCCGACCUGAGAGGGGGAUCGGCCACACUGGAACUGAGACACGGACAAGACUCCUACGGGAGGCAGCAGUAGGGAAUGUGCCGCAAUGGGCGAAAGCAUGACGGAGCAACGCCGCGUGAGUGAUGAAGGUCUUCGGAUCGUAAAACUCUGUUAUUAGGGAAGAACAAACGUGUAAGUAAAUGUGCACGGAUUGACGGUACCUAAUCAGAAAGCCACGGCUAACUACGUG
RNAcentral lists this ribosomal RNA (497 nucleotides) under uncultured bacterium. RNAcentral's name for it is "partial 16S ribosomal RNA". It matches the Rfam family "Bacterial small subunit ribosomal RNA", at positions 28 to 507 of the family's 1533-position model. The record is from RNAcentral.